RNAcentral lists this ribosomal RNA (463 nucleotides) under uncultured bacterium. RNAcentral's name for it is "partial 16S ribosomal RNA". It matches the Rfam family "Bacterial small subunit ribosomal RNA", at positions 28 to 507 of the family's 1533-position model. The record is from RNAcentral.
GGCGAACGCUGGCGGCGUGCUUAACACAUGCAAGUCGAACGGUGAACCUCUUCGGAGGGGAUCAGUGGCGAACGGGUGAGUAACACGUGGGCAACCUGCCCCCGGCUCUGGGAUAACUCCAAGAAAUUGGGGCUAAUACCGGAUGUUCACCGCUUCCCGCAUGGGUGGUGGUGGAAAGGGUUUCCGGCUGGGGAUGGGCCCGCGGCCUAUCAGCUUGUUGGUGGGGUAGUGGCCUACCAAGGCGACGACGGGUAGCCGGCCUGAGAGGGUGACCGGCCACACUGGGACUGAGACACGGCCCAGGCUCCUACGGGAGGCAGCAGUGGGGAAUAUUGCGCAAUGGGCGGAAGCCUGACGCAGCGACGCCGCGUGGGGGAUGACGGCCUUCGGGUUGUAAACCUCUUUCAGCAGGGACGAAGCGCAAGUGACGGUACCUGCAGAAGAAGCACCGGCCAACUACGUG